GAAUAGCGAUUUGAUAUCUUGACUUUAGGAUCCUCAUGUAUAUUGCACAUGCUGCUUAUAUGUAGGACUUUUGCAUCAACAAUCCAUCUCUUAAGUAUGUAUUUCUUAGGAACAUAUUUUAUAUUAUUGACAUCUAGUAUCUUUAGUGCAUGAGAACAUAAGAUGCCAGCAAACUCAAACUUCUUGCAGCUGCAUAUGACAAUUGAUUCCAAUGGAGAAAACUUAACAGUAUGUUCGUGAUGUUUUCCAUGGACUCUUGAUUUAUACACCUUUUCUGCGCCAUCAUCACCACAGUAAAAUAGAUCACAAUUUAAAGUUUGCAACACUUCCUCCUCAAAUAACUUGAAUAUUGCUGGUGUAUACACUUUUGCUGCUUGCUUAAAUAUUUCCAGUGCUGCCUUCGGCUUUGGUGUACUUUGUGUCGCUCUAAAAUCACAGGCUUUCAUUUCUUUGGGUGGACACCAUAUCAGCAGAGAAUGUGUUUCUGCCAUAUACUAAUGCCCACAGAUAUCGUUUAUCAAAAAGUCAUUGAAGCCAUUUAUUCCCUUGAAGGUUGAAUGUGGUUCUCUCCAUAUUCUCCAGAUAUUCCCAUCCUACCAGGAGGAUCAGCCGUGAAACUCAAUGAUGGAAUUACAACUUUAGCAGGAUCCUUCGUCUGUGCUGAAGUAGUGUAGAAUUCUGAUGGGUCCAUUGCAUCAUAUGGUGUGUUCUAUAGAAUUAGGUAUAGAUGCAGUUCUAUGUUGUGGGUGAUUGCUUGUGGAAUAAAAAUAUUUAUUUUAUUUAUGGCUAGUUUUGGCGGGGCAUUUGUGAGGUCUUGGCGCUGAUGUGUAUUCUAGGCGGUAGCUUUUUUACUUUU
Molecule: long non-coding RNA, 856 nt
Organism: Zea mays
Lineage: Eukaryota; Viridiplantae; Streptophyta; Magnoliopsida; Poales; Poaceae
Exons: 3
Source: RefSeq, a predicted model, not a curated record